Molecule: non-coding RNA, 2329 nt
Organism: Cajanus cajan (pigeon pea)
Lineage: Eukaryota; Viridiplantae; Streptophyta; Magnoliopsida; Fabales; Fabaceae
Source: RefSeq, a predicted model, not a curated record
CGAAGAUCGAGAACGAGGAAGCAGUGGCGCUACAAGGAGAGGAAGCGGUACAUGAAGGAGUCGGUGUCCUCCCGCAACACAUUCACCGCCACCCACUCGUCCUACGACACCUGCUUGAAGAACACCAAGCACCGCCCUCGGAGACAAGGACGCUCUGCCACUGCCCUGCCACCCCCCCGUGCAGCGUGUCGCUGGGCGCGGUGGAGUGCAGAGAUUGGGGAACGAGCUGUACAGAAGCGGCAGCUUCGCGGAGGAGCUGGCGCUGUACGAUUGCGCCAUCGCCAUCUCGCCGGGGAACACCGCAUGCCGGAGCAACUGCGCGGCGGCACUCACGGCGGUCAGGAGGCUCAGCAAUGCCGCGAGGGAGUGCCUUAAGGCUAUGAAGUUGGACCCUGCUUAUGUCAGAGCUCAUAAGAGACUUGCUUCACUUUAUCUUAGGUUUCGACAGGUUGAAAAUUCGCGGCGGCACUUGUGCCUCCAUGGGAUUCACGAGGAUCAAUCUGAGGAGCAGAAGCUAUUGUUAUUAGAGAAGCAUUUGAAUCGUUGUGCUGAUGCAAGAAAAUUUGGUGAUUGGGAGAGGCGCUUAGGGAAUCAGAAGCAGCCAUUGCUGUUGGAGCAAAUUUUUUGCCUCAGCUAUUUGGAGUUUUCAAAUUGCAACUAAACAAGGUUGCUGAGAAAGCUGGUGGAGGCUUGAAGAAGGCUAUUGAUUUCUACGAGGAAGUGAAGGCAAAGCAUCCUAAGAUUACAUAUACAGACCUCUACCAGGUGAUCAUUUGUCUUAAUUCAGUUGUUGUGAAAGUCUAUUGAAUCUGAUAAUUUUGUAUUAAAUUUGUUAGGUGAAAACUGAAAAUCGUAGAAUGGGGUUAAUGGACUUCUAAAUUUGCCUGGGAUGUGCAUGAUAAUUGAUUCAGCCGUGAUAUGUGGUUCUAAUUAACAACUGCAUAGCCUCAGACGACUAUGAUGGAUAUCAAAGUCCUUGUGCAAACAAUCACAUCUACACCCACAACCACAAUUUAAAACUAAAGACCGCGGUUGCAAAUAGAUUGACAAUUAAGUGUAUGGAAGCAAUAUGAAACGAAAGGAUAUAAGCAUUGAUAAAGUAUAUGAUGCACGUGCACUAAGAGUAGUUGUGGGAGACAAGAAUGGAACUUUACACGAAAGGAUAUAAGCAUUGAUAAUGUAGGUUCGCACUAAGGGGGUUGGGCGCAGUUCUUCGCGCCGAGUGCAAAUUAAUAAUUUCCCAUGAAAAAUUGAGCUAGGCUCAGGAAAAUUGAGUCGGGCUCAAGAAAGUUGUGUCGGGCGCAAGAACAUUGAGUCGGGCUCAAGAAAGUUACGUCGAGCGCAAGAAAGUUGCACCGAGCACAGGAAAGUCACUCAGAGUGUGCUCAGGUCACGCCAAACGUAAUGCUUCACUUUUGGUGCGGCAUCUAAUGUACUGGGCACGAGUUGGGGCACGCCAGGUGUGACCCCUGUGAUUUUAUAUGUUUUAUGUCAUGUUUGAAGGUGCAAAUUGUGUGGAAAUUGACUUAGUACUAUGUUAGCGUAUGUGAUGUGUUUUAUAAGCAUGAUAAGGACAUUAAUCUCCAAAUGAUGAUCUUAUGAGCAUGAUUAUGAGAAAUGUGAAAGGUGAAAUGUGAACAAGUGACAUGACACAUGAAAUUUCUUGACAAGUAAAAUGUUAAGUCCAUGAGUUUGUGAAGGUGUAACAUGCAUCAUAUGCAUUUAUGUGACGAGGAACGAUAUGGAGUACAUCGUUAGGGAAGGCCCUCCAAGUGUGAAACAUCUUGGAGGAGUCCUAGGGGAUAGUGCGAUUUGGAAGGCCCACUUCUGCCCGUUUGUGUGCAUGGGGCGUAUCUUGCGCGACUUUCUUAUCCCAACGAGACCCUAGCAAUACAUCCUUCUAGUUGAGAGUGCACGGUUGAGCUGACAUGUACUCCUAGAAUAAUCUAGGUAUGUUGCUUCGGAAGCAUACCACGUGAUAUAUGUGAUUAUAAGACACGUGACUAGUGCCACAUGCAUUCAUUUAUGAGUCAAGUCCAUGACAUCAUUGCAUGAUAAAUGAGUGUGCAUGUAAUACUAAUAUUGUAUGUGUAUUGUUUAUAUGUGAUUGGUGAUGGAGGACCAUCCUUGAAGACACAUGUGGGCCCCAUCACUAGGUCCAUGGCUAGGAGGGUCGAAGAGGAGGAGGGUGUUCACACACCUAGGGAUACUCUCCUCAUGAUCAUAGAGUAUUAGUACUCUCCUAAGCCUCAUUAGUAUAGGGUUUAUUUUAUUUGCCAAUUUUACCCUUGUAUUUUGGGGUAUUUUAGUCAUAGGAUUUAUUUUCUUU